CCUACGGGAGGCAGCAGUGGGGAAUAUUGGACAAUGGGCGAAAGCCUGAUCCAGCCAUGCCGCGUGUGUGAAGAAGGCCUUCGGGUUGUAAAGCACUUUCAGUGGGGAAGAAAGCCUUGGGGCUAAUACCCUCGAGGAAGGACAUCACCCACAGAAGAAGCAACGGCUAACUCCGUGCCAGCAGCCGCGGUAAUACGGAGGGUGCGAGCGUUAAUCGGAAUUACUGGGCGUAAAGCGCGCGUAGGCGGUCUGAUAAGCCGGUUGUGAAAGCCCCGGGCUCAACCUGGGAACGGCAUCCGGAACUGUCAGGCUAGAGUGCAGGAGAGGAAGGUAGAAUUCCCGGUGUAGCGGUGAAAUGCGUAGAGAUCGGGAGGAAUACCAGUGGCGAAGGCGGCCUUCUGGACUGACACUGACGCUGAGGUGCGAAAGCGUGGGUAGCAAACAGGAUUAGAUACCCUUGUAGUC
Molecule: ribosomal RNA, 465 nt
Filed under: Vreelandella stevensii
Lineage: Bacteria; Pseudomonadati; Pseudomonadota; Gammaproteobacteria; Oceanospirillales; Halomonadaceae
Description: partial 16S ribosomal RNA
Rfam family: Bacterial small subunit ribosomal RNA
Source: RNAcentral